UGAGACAGGAUUGUGUCGAGGCACAGAUCUGGGGAAGGGUACCAAAAAUAUUCUGCGGCAUUGAAGGUCCCCAAGAACACAGUGACCUCCGUCAUUGUUAAAUGGAAGAUGUUUGGAACCACCAAGACUCUCCUAGGUCUGGUCGCCUGGUCAAACUGAGCAAUCAGGGGAGAGGGGCCUUGGUCACGGUGGUGACCAAGAACCUGAUGGUCACCGACAGAGCUCCAGAGUUCCUCUGUGGAGAUGGGAGAACCUUCCAGAAGGACAACCAUCUAUGCAGCACUCCACCAUUCAGUCCUUUAUUGUAGAGUGGCCAGACAGAAGCCACUCCUCAGUAAAAGGCACAUGACAUGACACUCCUGGAGUUUGCCAAAAGGCACCUAAAGGACUCAGACCAUGAGAAACAAGACUCUCUGGUCUGAUGAAACCAAGAUUGAACUCUUUGGCCUGAAUGCCAAGCGUCACAUCUGGAGGAAACCUGGCACCAUCCCUACGGUGAAGCAUGGUGGUGGCAGCAUCAUGCUGUGGGGAUGUUUUUCAGCGGCAGGGACUGGGAGAGUAGGCAGGAUCGAGGGAAAGAUGAACGGAGCAAAGUACAGAGAGAUCCUUGAUGGAGACCUGCUCCAAGGCACUCAGGACCUCAGACUGGGGUGAAGUUUCACCUUCCAACAGGACAAUGACCCUAAACACACAGCCAAGACAAUGCAGGAGUGGCUUUGGGACAAGUCUCAGUGUCCUUGAGUGGCCCAGCCAAAGCCAGGACUUGACCCCGAUCAAACAUCUCUGGAGAGACCUGAAAAUAGCUGUGCAGCAACACUCCCCAUCCAACGUGACAGAGAUUGAGAGGAUCUGCAGAGAAGAAUGGGAGAAACUCCCCAAAUAAAGGUGUGCCAAGCUUGUUGCGUCAUACCCAAGAAGACUGGAGGCUGUAAUCACUGCAAAACGUGCUUCAUCAAAGUACUGAGUAAAGGGUCUGAAUACUUAUGUAAAUGUCAUAUUUCAGUUAAUAUUUAAUCAAAAAUUCUCAAAAAACCUGUUCUUGCUUUGUAAUUAUGGGGCAUUGUGAUGUCAUUAUGGGGUAUUGUGAUGUCAUUAUGGGGUAUUGUGAAGUCAUUAUGGGGUAUUGUGAUGUCAUUAUGGGGUAUUGUGAUGUCAUUAUGGGGUAUUGUGUGUAGAUUAAUGAUGGGGGAAAAAUACAAUUGAAUCCAUUUUAGAGUAAGGCUGUAAUGUAACAAAAUGUGGAAAUGUCUAGGGGUCUGAAUACUUUCCGAAUGCCCUGUACAGUAUACGUUAGGGCUUAUUGAGGUCAAAUUGAGGUCAACAAAUGAUUUGUUAUUAUGUUCCAGGCCCCCGACCAUCUUCCCACGGUUAAAUGUAGUUGAUGAUGCCUGCCACACACUGUAACGUCAGGGAGGUGAUGCCUGCCACACACUGUAACGUCAGGGAGGUGAUGCCUGCCAUACACUGUAACGUCAGGGAGGUGAUGCCUGCCAUACACUGUAACGCCAGGGAGGUGAUGCCUGCCAUACACUGUAACGCCAGGGAGGUGAUGCCUGCCACACACUGUAACGUCAGGGAGGUGAUGCCUGCCAUACACUGUAACGUCAGGGAGGUGAUGCCUGCCAUACACUGUAACGUCAGGGAGGUGAUGCCUGCCAUACACUAACGUCAGGGAGGUGAUGCCUGCCAUACACUGUAACGUCAGGGAGGUGAUGCCUGCCAUACACUGUAACGUCAGGGAGGUGAUGCCUGCCAUACACUGUAACGUCAGGGAGGUGAUGCCUGCCAUACACUGUAACGUCAGGGAGGUGAUGCCUGCCACACACUGUAACGUCAGGGAGGUGAUGCCUGCCAUACACUGUAACGUCAGGGAGGUGAUGCCUGCCACACACUGUAACGUCAGGGAGGUGAUGCCUGCCAUACACUGUAACGCCAGGGAGGUGAUGUCUGCCAUACACUGUAACGUCAGGGAGGUGAUGCCUGCCAUACACUGGAACGUCAGGGAGGUGAUGCCUGCCAUACACUGGAACGUCAGGGAGGUGAUGCCUGCCAUACACUGGAACGUCAGGGAGGUGAUGCCUGCCACACACUGUAACGUCAGGGAGGUGAUGCCUGCCAUACACUGUAACGUCAGGGAGGUGAUGCCUGCCACACACUGUAACGUCAGGGAGGUGAUGCCAUGUACAGACCCAGUCCACAGAAUUAACAACAACUGAGAUAAAUAUUUAAUAAAUGUAUUAAUAAAUAGAAGGACAGAUGAUCUCUAUGGGGAAGCCAUCCGGUGGUAUUGUGACGACCCAGGAAGAGGC
Molecule: long non-coding RNA, 2309 nt
Organism: Oncorhynchus keta (chum salmon)
Lineage: Eukaryota; Metazoa; Chordata; Actinopteri; Salmoniformes; Salmonidae
Exons: 5
Source: RefSeq, a predicted model, not a curated record